AGUGUCUAAAUCAUAGAGUCUGUAUUAAGGUUGUGAAAAAUAUAAUUUUCUUUUAUUGGAUCGAUCAUGCAGGAGAUCGUCGUUUGGUGAUUGCGAUGAUCUUCUUUUUAUUGUUUCUGAGUUGUGUACGAGCAUGGUAGUAUAUUUUGUCACGAAAUCGCCAAAGGGGGAGAUUGUUAAGGAUUUUAUAGGUUGGCGGAUUUCGUAAAGUUGAAUGGAGUCUUGAAGAGUUGAUCGCGGAAGUUUUGAAGAAAAGAUUCAAAUAGAAGAACAAAGACUCAUUCGGAAAGCUCGGCACCUCAGGUAUGAAGAAUAGAUCAUUUGUGGUGAAGGUACUUAAUUGGAAUAAGUUUAGAAGGCUUAGAUUACUUUAAAACUCAUUUACUGAACUUUUCUGUGUUCUGGGACCGGUCCCAGAGUUGAAGAGACCGGUUCCCCUAAGGUCCUCACUGCGUGAAUAUUGAUGCAACCGGUCCCCUGAGAUGAGAGACCGGUUCCCGAACCUUCGUAUUUCUGUCGCGCAGCGAGGGACCGAUCUCUGGCUUGAGAGACCGGUUCCCGAACGUUGUGAUUUUUGGUAACGCAGCGAGGGACCGGUUCCUCACUUGAGAGACCGGUCUCUCACAGACCAGUCUCCUCGAGAGGACCGGUCCCUGAGGACGACACAAGUUUUUUAAAAAGGACUUUUUGCAAUCCUAGUCUACUUCUAAGUCUUCUAAACAUAUAAAUAAGCCAUGGGGUCAUCUUAAAGUUUAAGGCUUUGAAUUUCUACUCAUUCUAAACCCUAGAAACUUAUUUUUUCGUUCUUAUGGUUCUAUUUCAAUAACAAGUUUCUAAUAAUCAACGAUUGACUUGAUUCUUCAUUUUUACUCAUGAACUUAUACGAGAAUCAAGUAGAUGUUUGAUUAAAAGGUAGACCCUCAUCGCUUAUGGGAUUCUAAGGCUUAUUCACCACAAAUCUUCGAUUCUACAAGCUCCGGAAGGAGAUUCAGCGUGUGGAUCUCGCGUGAAGCCAAGGAUUCGGUGGACGCUUCGAGGAGUUGAGGCGUUGACGCUGCAAGGAGUUGCGGCGAGGUCGAUUGGAGGAUUCNAUAAACUUAGAAAAGAAGUUUUGAAGGCGCUAGUUGAGAAGUUCUGAGGUAAGUUGAAAUGCUUUAGGCGGUUGGAUAUUUUAGGAAUUGUUAGAGGGGGAAACCGCUAAAGCACUGUUUUAUAUGAUGGUACGAGCAUGUGUUGAGUCUUUGUUAUUUUUCUUCUAGUAGCGUUAGUGGUUUGCUGCUAGAGGACGUACUAGCUAGGUUAUUUUCUUUUAAUAUAAAAAGUGUUGGAAUUAUGUCUGAGAUACUAAAUCUGUGAUCCUCAGAACUUCAGAACUAAAGGACGUUUUGUUAAAUAGAUUCUUUAAUGUAGUUUUGUAAUCUAAGAAUAUGACAUUCCUGACUCUAAAAACUGUCACGUUGAUUUGAGAGACAACUACUACAAAUACACACAUUAAAUUAAUGUAUUCGUGAGCAGUUCAAAAUCCGAAGAACAAAGACUCAUUCGGAAAGCUCGGCACCUCAGGUAUGAAGAAUAGAUCAUUUGUGGUGAAGGUACUUAAUUGGAAUAAGUUCAGAAGCCCUAAAUUACUUUAAAACUCUUUUACUGAACUUUUCUGUGUUUUGAAACCGAUCCCAGA
Molecule: long non-coding RNA, 1678 nt
Filed under: Ananas comosus (pineapple)
Lineage: Eukaryota; Viridiplantae; Streptophyta; Magnoliopsida; Poales; Bromeliaceae
Description: long non-coding RNA (ACOM_LNC007266)
Source: RNAcentral